UACGUAGGGACCAAGCGUUGUCCGGAAUCAUUGGGCGUAAAGCGCGCGUAGGUGGCCAUUUAAGUCCGCUGUGAAAGUCAGAGGCUCAACCUUUGAAAGCCGGUGGAUACUGGAUGGCUAGAGUACGGAAGAGGCGAGUGGAAUUCCUGGUGUAGCGGUGGAAUGCGCAGAUAUCAGGAGGAACACCAAUUGCGAAGGCAGCUCGCUGGGACGUCACUGACGCUGAGACGCGAAAGCGUGGGGAGCAAACAGG
RNAcentral lists this ribosomal RNA (253 nucleotides) under uncultured bacterium. RNAcentral describes it as "partial 16S ribosomal RNA". It matches the Rfam family "Bacterial small subunit ribosomal RNA", at positions 524 to 776 of the family's 1533-position model. The record is from RNAcentral.